GAUGAACGCUGGCGGCGUGCCUAAUACAUGCAAGUCGAGCGAACAGAUGGGGAGCUUGCUCCUCUGACGUUAGCGGCGGACGGGUGAGUAACACGUGGAUAACCUACCUAUAAGACUGGGAUAACUUCGGGAAACCGGAGCUAAUACCGGAUAAUAUAUUGAACCGCAUGGUUCAAUAGUGAAAGACGGUUUUGCUGUCACUUAUAGAUGGAUCCGCGCCGCAUUAGCUAGUUGGUAAGGUAACGGUUUACCAAGGCAACGAUGCGUAGCCGACCUGAGAGGGUGAUCGGCCACACUGGAACUGAGACACGGUCCAGACUCCUACGGGAGGCAGCAGUAGGGAAUCUUCCGCAAUGGGCGAAAGCCUGACGGAGCAACGCCGCGUGAGUGAUGAAGGUCUUCGGAUCGUAAAACUCUGUUAUUAGGGAAGAACAAAUGUGUAAGUAACUAUGCACGUCUUGACGGUACCUAAUCAGAAAGCCACGGCUAACUACGUG
This 497-nucleotide ribosomal RNA is filed under the name uncultured bacterium. RNAcentral's name for it is "partial 16S ribosomal RNA". It matches the Rfam family "Bacterial small subunit ribosomal RNA", at positions 28 to 507 of the family's 1533-position model. The record is from RNAcentral.